This is a non-coding RNA of Picea glauca (white spruce), 120 nucleotides long. The record is from Rfam. NCBI's taxonomy places the organism in Eukaryota, Viridiplantae, Streptophyta, Pinopsida, Pinales, Pinaceae.
AUGUAAAUGCCUACAACAUAGCAUUAAUGCACCAGAUCACAUUAGAAAUCCACAGUUAAGCACACUUAGGCUAUGGUACUGGGAUGGGUGACCUCCUAGAAAGUCCUAGUAUUUUACAUG